GUGGGGAAUAUUCCGCAAUGGACGAAAGUCUGACGGAGCAACGCCGCGUGAGUGAUGAAGGUUUUCGGACUGUAAAGCUCUGUUGUUUAGGACGAAAGUGCCUGUUGCGAAUAGUUACAGGUAUUGACGGUACUGAACGAGGAAGCCACGGCUAACUACGUGCCAGCAGCCGCGGUAAUACGUAGGUGGCAAGCGUUGUCCGGAAUUAUUGGGCGUAAAGAGCAUGUAGGCGGGAAUCUAAGUCUGUUGUGAAAAUGCGGGGCUCAACCCCGUAUUGCGAUGGAAACUGGGUUUCUUGAGUGCAGGAGAGGAAAGGGGAAUUCCCAGUGUAGCGGUGAAAUGCGUAGAUAUCGGGAGGAACACCAGUGGCGAAGGCGGGUUCCUGGCCCAUGACUGACGCUGAGGUGCGAAAGCCGGGGGAGCGAACGGGAUUAGAUACCCUGGUAGUCC
Molecule: ribosomal RNA, 450 nt
Filed under: uncultured bacterium
Lineage: Bacteria
Description: partial 16S ribosomal RNA
Rfam family: Bacterial small subunit ribosomal RNA
Source: RNAcentral